UGACAACAUACUGAGGAGGAAAUGCAGCCAUUUGUUUGAGGUGUGUUGGACCAGGGAUACAUCUAAAAGUUACAGGACACUGGCCCUCGAAGACUGGAGUUUGACAUCCCUGAUCUAGAAGGUCAUUGCAGGGAGCCACUUUAUCUACUGGUUUCCAGCUUUCAAAAAUGGCGGUGAAACUUGAGGAUUAAGAAACGGAGUCAACAAACAAGUUCAUGUUAUAGGCUGAGUUCAUCUUCUCUACCCAGUCUGUGCCUGUGUAUGGUUGUCUGUCCUGUGGGUCUCUUUGUUGCCCUGUGAGGGAAUGGAGACCUGUCCAGGGUGUACCACACCUCUCACCCAACGACCAGACACCCCCACCCUCUCUACCUCAGGUCAGUGGAUUUCCAAGAGCCAGACAUUGACUGGGAUGUUGCAGCAGGGUACAGACCAGAUGCGGAGGGGGUAAUUGUGGUCCCAGAGUUUGGCAAUCCCCUCACUGAAGAGCAGCACACUGAAUUACAGUUGCUGUUGGCUCAACAUUUAGGGCAAACAGACACUAAGGAGCUUUAUCUGUUGUGCAGAGAAUAUGUCAAUGCUGCCUUGUCAGAUUAAUAUGUAUUUGAAAUAAAAAGAUCAAGACAUGA
Long non-coding RNA from Girardinichthys multiradiatus, 626 nucleotides. RefSeq lists it as uncharacterized. The record is from RefSeq and is a predicted model, not a curated record. The transcript is spliced from 4 exons. NCBI's taxonomy places the organism in Eukaryota, Metazoa, Chordata, Actinopteri, Cyprinodontiformes, Goodeidae.